This 253-nucleotide ribosomal RNA is filed under the name uncultured bacterium. RNAcentral's name for it is "partial 16S ribosomal RNA". It matches the Rfam family "Bacterial small subunit ribosomal RNA", at positions 524 to 776 of the family's 1533-position model. The record is from RNAcentral.
UACGAAGGGGGCUAGCGUUGCUCGGAAUCACUGGGCGUAAAGCGCACGUAGGCGGCUUUCUAAGUCAGGGGUGAAAUCCUGGAGCUCAACUCCAGAACUGCCUUUGAUACUGGAGAGCUCGAGUCCGGAAGAGGUGAGUGGAACUCCGAGUGUAGAGGUGAAAUUCGUAGAUAUUCGGAAGAACACCAGUGGCGAAGGCGGCUCACUGGUCCGGUACUGACGCUGAGGCGCGAAAGCGUGGGGAGCGAACGGG